This 253-nucleotide ribosomal RNA is filed under the name uncultured bacterium. RNAcentral describes it as "partial 16S ribosomal RNA". It matches the Rfam family "Bacterial small subunit ribosomal RNA", at positions 524 to 776 of the family's 1533-position model. The record is from RNAcentral.
UACGUAGGGGGCGAGCGUUGUCCGGAUUUAUUGGGCGUAAAGAGCUCGUAGGCGGUUUGUUGCGUCGGCUGUGAAAUCCCGAGGCUCAACCUCGGGUCUGCAGUCGAUACGAGCAAACUAGAGUGUUGCAGGGGAGACUGGAAUUCCUGGUGUAGCGGUGAAAUGCGCAGAUAUCAGGAGGAACACCGGUGGCGAAGGCGGGUCUCUGGGCAACAACUGACGCUGAGGAGCGAAAGCGUGGGGAGCGAACAGG